UGGCUCAGAACGAACGCUGGUGGCGUGUCUUAUACAUGCAAGUCGAGCGAGGCAGCAAUGCCGAGCGGCGAACGGGUGAGUAACGCGUAAGCAAUCGUGCCCCAUAUCACGGAAAUACCCGUGCCAACGCGCGGUUAAUGUCCAGGAGAGUGGCCUUCUGCAUGGAGGGUUGACUAGAGAUUUAUCGGUAUGGGAUGAGCUUGCGUCCGAGUUAGCUAGUUGGCGGGGCAACGGCCACCAAGGCAACGAUCGGUAGCCGGCCUGAGAGGGUGAUCGGCCACAUUGGGACUGAGAUACGGCCCAGACUCCUACGGGAGGCAGCAGUAGGGAAUAUUGCACAAUGGGGGAAACCCUGAUGCAGCAACGCCACGUGUGGGAAAGAAGCAUUUCGGUGUGUAAACCACUGUCAUGAGGGAAUAAGGCCCAGUUUAGGCUGGGAUUGAAUGUACCUUGAGAGGAAGCACCGGCAAACUUCGUGCCAGCCGCUGC
This 489-nucleotide ribosomal RNA is filed under the name uncultured bacterium. RNAcentral describes it as "bacterial SSU rRNA". It matches the Rfam family "Bacterial small subunit ribosomal RNA", at positions 20 to 518 of the family's 1533-position model. The record is from RNAcentral.